UUGACCUCAGAUCAGGUAGGAAUACCCGCUGAACUUAAGCUUUAUGGGGG
Molecule: ribosomal RNA, 50 nt
Filed under: Acremonium sp. KM1p
Lineage: Eukaryota; Fungi; Ascomycota; Sordariomycetes; Hypocreales; Bionectriaceae
Description: partial 28S ribosomal RNA
Source: RNAcentral